GGGGCCGUGGCUCAGAUGGAUAGAGCAAGCGCCUCCUAAGCGCUAGGUCGCGGGUUCGAAUCCCGCCGGUCCCG
RNAcentral lists this transfer RNA (74 nucleotides) under Synechococcaceae cyanobacterium SM2_3_1. Its description in RNAcentral is "tRNA-Arg". It matches the Rfam family "tRNA". Rfam says of the family: Transfer RNA (tRNA) molecules are approximately 80 nucleotides in length. Their secondary structure includes four short double-helical elements and three loops (D, anti-codon, and T loops). Further hydrogen bonds mediate the characteristic L-shaped molecular structure. tRNAs have two regions of fundamental functional importance: the anti-codon, which is responsible for specific mRNA codon recognition, and the 3' end, to which the tRNAs corresponding amino acid is attached (by aminoacyl-tRNA synthetases). tRNAs cope with the degeneracy of the genetic code in two manners: having more than one tRNA (with a specific anti-codon) for a particular amino acid; and 'wobble' base-pairing, i.e. permitting non-standard base-pairing at the 3rd anti-codon position. Lineage: Bacteria; Bacillati; Cyanobacteriota; Cyanophyceae; Synechococcales; Synechococcaceae. The record is from RNAcentral.